CUGUACAGUUCAGAGUUUGAUCCUGGCUCAGGAUUAACGCUGGCGGCAUGCCUAAUACAUGCAAGUCAAACGGGAUUAUAGCUUGCUAUAAUCUAGUGGCGAACGGGUGAGUAACACGUGGGCAACCUGUCCUGAAGACGAGGAUAACAGUUGGAAACGACUGCUAAUACUGGAUAGUAUAUUUAGUCGCAUGACUUUAUAUUUAAAGAUGCGUUUGCAUCACUUUAGGAGGGGCCCGCGGCGCAUUAGCUAGUUGGUGAGGUAACGGCUCACCAAGGCGACGAUGCGUAGCUGCGCUGAGAGGCGAAACAGCCACAUUGGGACUGAGACACGGCCCAA
This 339-nucleotide ribosomal RNA is filed under the name uncultured bacterium. RNAcentral's name for it is "bacterial SSU rRNA". It matches the Rfam family "Bacterial small subunit ribosomal RNA", at positions 1 to 334 of the family's 1533-position model. The record is from RNAcentral.